CGUGUAGGCGGUUUGGUAAGUCUGAUGUGAAAGCCCCGGGCUCAACCUGGGAAGUGCAUUGGAAACUGUCAGACUUGAAUACGGGAGAGGGUAGCGGAAUUCCUGGUGUAGGAGUGAAAUCCGUAGAUAUCAGGAGGAACACCGGUGGCGAAGGCGGCUGCCUGGACCGAUAUUGACGCUGAGACGCGAAAGCGUGGGUAGCAAACAGGAUUAGAUACCCUGGUAGUCCACGCCGUAAACGAUGAGUACUAGGUGUUGCGGGUAUUGACCCCUGCAGUGCCGCAGCUAACGCAUUAAGUACUCCGCCUGGGAAGUACGGUCGCAAGACUAAA
This 332-nucleotide ribosomal RNA is filed under the name uncultured bacterium. RNAcentral describes it as "bacterial SSU rRNA". It matches the Rfam family "Bacterial small subunit ribosomal RNA", at positions 568 to 898 of the family's 1533-position model. The record is from RNAcentral.